This is a long non-coding RNA of Vitis riparia (riverbank grape), 1432 nucleotides long. RefSeq lists it as uncharacterized. The transcript is spliced from 5 exons. The record is from RefSeq and is a predicted model, not a curated record. NCBI's taxonomy places the organism in Eukaryota, Viridiplantae, Streptophyta, Magnoliopsida, Vitales, Vitaceae.
UUGAUUUUGAUCAAGGCUUUCUUGAUGUAUACUCUGAUGUUUUGCUCAAAUUAAUCCUGAUGAUUUUCUUGAUUGGGAAGGUGACUUUUCCUCCAAGGAAGAGGACAGAUUGUUAUGAUUUUGGCAGAGUUUUCCCAGUAAAGGAAUUGAAGGAAGGGGAGAUUCCUGGGUGCUGAACUAUUGAUGUUCAUUGCUCUGUUCAAGAAGAACAAGAAACUUUUCAGGAUAGUCAAAAGCAUAGGAAAAGCUGAAGCUGAAGAUACCAUGCACAAAAACAGGAGAGUUUCCAUUGAAACCAGUCCAAAUUAUGAUUGAACCCCAGCAUUGAGCUGAUGCUUCAUAACGUGUUUUUAUAAGAGACAUAGGCUGCUCGAGUUGUCUGAAUAUACCCCAUAGUCCCUCUGAUGCCUGUACACAAGUCCUUGGGGCCUCCAGAAAGGAAGCUUGAUAAAGAGCCAUUGUGCAUAAAAAAAAAAAAAAAAAAAACACCAGUAAUCAGUGUUCACCCUCAUGACAGUAACGCAGCAACUGUCCUUGAUUCUUAUGACAGUGUCAAAGGCUUCUACCAUCGCUUGUACUCAGGAUUCUGUGAUAAAGCUGCAGAUUUUUGAGGUUCAAGUGGUGGAAAACUAGAGAAAUUGCAGCCAGAGAAACGAAGAAGAAAAACGCAGAGGGGCCUAAGAGGACUGAGAGUAUUAGAAUUGCUUUAUUUUGGUUGCCUCUGCCUGAAGUUAGUUCACUGGACUUCAAUAUCUUGAUUAGAGCACUUCUGGAAACAUCAGUUUGAUCCAACCUCCCAUUUGAAAGAGGUAGUCUUUUCCUCCAACAGCUUCCAGUUCCAUUUGCAAACCUCAGGUCCUCAAAAAUAGCAACUGCACAGUAGGCUCCAACACCAAUCCCUGGGUUGGCAAUAUGGUAUUAGUUGGGUGCUUGAAGCUCUCCCAUAUACUGGUAUACAAUUUCCAUGUCCAAGCAUGGCACCAUGCACUGCUUUGCUGCUCACAUUACCAGUCUUUGUCUUCAUCUCUUAGCCUCUGGAGAACAGGUUGUCCAUUGGUAGUAAGCUCAACUUUUGAUCCUCUUGGCACCGGUUAACUUCCAUUUGCAGUCCAGAUAGCAAGAAGGAUAUUGAUCCUUUUCACUUGGAGAGGGUCAGAAUCCAAAUGCAAAAUCACCAGACAUAGAGAGAUGAACCCAAGCUUAUAUUACUAUAAGCUUGGCUGAUGAGUAACAAGUAGAGGUAGAGAGACAAUGUAUGUAAGUUAUUAUGUGCAUAAUUGGUCACCCGACUGCUUUUCUCUGCAUGUUUAUUAAAUUGAAAGAGUCUAGUGAAUAUUACUUUCUUCUAUAAUUGAACAUUCUCCUGUAAUUGAGUAGUGUGAAAGCAAUUUUUUUUCUUCUUCAACAAAUGAAUAUUGAGAGCAUAAGAUUA